RNAcentral lists this ribosomal RNA (425 nucleotides) under bacterium. RNAcentral's name for it is "partial 16S ribosomal RNA". It matches the Rfam family "Bacterial small subunit ribosomal RNA", at positions 355 to 776 of the family's 1533-position model. The record is from RNAcentral.
UGGGGAAUAUUGCACAAUGGGCGCAAGCCUGAUGCAGCGACGCCGCGUGAGGGAUGGAGGCCUUCGGGUUGUAAACCUCUUUCGCCAGUGAAGCAGGCCAUCUUCUUUGUGGGGUGGUUGACGGUAGCUGGAUAAGAAGCGCCGGCUAACUACGUGCCAGCAGCCGCGGUAAUACGUAGGGCGCGAGCGUUGUCCGGAAUUAUUGGGCGUAAAGAGCUCGUGGGCGGCUGGUCGCGUCUGUCGUGAAAUCCCCUGGCUUAACUGGGGGCUUGCGGUGGGUACGGGCCGGCUUGAGUGCGGUAGGGGAGACUGGAAUUCCUGGUGUAGCGGUGGAAUGCGCAGAUAUCAGGAGGAACACCGGUGGCGAAGGCGGGUCUCUGGGCCGUUACUGACGCUGAGGAGCGAAAGCGUGGGGAGCGAACAGG